AUUGAACGCUGGCGGCAUGCCUUACACAUGCAAGUCGAACGGCAGCACGGGUGCUUGCACCUGGUGGCGAGUGGCGAACGGGUGAGUAAUACAUCGGAACAUGUCCUGUAGUGGGGGAUAGCCCGGCGAAAGCCGGAUUAAUACCGCAUACGAUCUACGGAUGAAAGCGGGGGACCUUCUGGCCUCGCGCUAUAGGGUUGGCCGAUGGCUGAUUAGCUAGUUGGUGGGGUAAAGGCCUACCAAGGCGACGAUCAGUAGCUGGUCUGAGAGGACGACCAGCCACACUGGGAGUGAGAAACGGCCCAGACUCCUACGGGAGGCAGCAGUGGGGAAUUUUGGACAAUGGGCGAAAGCCUGAUCCAGCAAUGCCGCGUGUGUGAAGAAGGACUUCGGGUUGUAAAGCACUUUUGUCCGGAAAGAAAUCCUUGGCCCUAAUACGGUCGGGGGAUGACGGUACCGGAAGAAUAAGCACCGGCUAACUACGUG
RNAcentral lists this ribosomal RNA (486 nucleotides) under uncultured bacterium. Its description in RNAcentral is "partial 16S ribosomal RNA". It matches the Rfam family "Bacterial small subunit ribosomal RNA", at positions 30 to 507 of the family's 1533-position model. The record is from RNAcentral.